This 253-nucleotide ribosomal RNA is filed under the name uncultured bacterium. Its description in RNAcentral is "partial 16S ribosomal RNA". It matches the Rfam family "Bacterial small subunit ribosomal RNA", at positions 524 to 776 of the family's 1533-position model. The record is from RNAcentral.
UACAGAGGUCUCAAGCGUUGUUCGGAUUCAUUGGGCGUAAAGGGUGCGUAGGCGGCGCGGUAAGUCGGAUGUGAAAUCUCGGAGCUUAACUUCGAAACUGCAUUCGAUACUGCCGUGCUUGAGGACUGGAGAGGAGACUGGAAUUUACGGUGUAGCGGUGAAAUGCGUAGAUAUCAGGAAGAACACCCGUGGCGAAGGCGGCUCUCUGGGACGGUACUGACGCUGAGACGCGAAAGCGUGGGGAGCGAACAGG